UACCAGCACCCCGAGUGGUCGGGACGUUUAUUGGGCCUAAAGCUUCCGUAGCCGGUUCUACGAGUCUUCCGUUAAAUCCAACUGCUUAACAGGUGGGCUGCAGAAGAUACUAUAGAGCUAGGAGGCGGGAGAGGCAAGCGGUACUCGAUGGGUAGGGGUAAAAUCCGUUGAUCCAUUGAAGACCACCAGUGGCGAAGGCGGCUUGCCAGAACGCGCUCGACGGUGAGGGAUGAAAGCUGGGGGAGCAAACCGG
Molecule: ribosomal RNA, 253 nt
Filed under: uncultured bacterium
Lineage: Bacteria
Description: partial 16S ribosomal RNA
Rfam family: Archaeal small subunit ribosomal RNA
Source: RNAcentral